Molecule: ribosomal RNA, 1538 nt
Filed under: Salmonella enterica subsp. enterica serovar Thompson
Lineage: Bacteria; Pseudomonadati; Pseudomonadota; Gammaproteobacteria; Enterobacterales; Enterobacteriaceae
Also listed under: 1 other name
Description: 16S ribosomal RNA
Rfam family: Bacterial small subunit ribosomal RNA
Source: RNAcentral
UUGAAGAGUUUGAUCAUGGCUCAGAUUGAACGCUGGCGGCAGGCCUAACACAUGCAAGUCGAACGGUAACAGGAAGCAGCUUGCUGCUUCGCUGACGAGUGGCGGACGGGUGAGUAAUGUCUGGGAAACUGCCUGAUGGAGGGGGAUAACUACUGGAAACGGUGGCUAAUACCGCAUAACGUCGCAAGACCAAAGAGGGGGACCUUCGGGCCUCUUGCCAUCAGAUGUGCCCAGAUGGGAUUAGCUUGUUGGUGAGGUAACGGCUCACCAAGGCGACGAUCCCUAGCUGGUCUGAGAGGAUGACCAGCCACACUGGAACUGAGACACGGUCCAGACUCCUACGGGAGGCAGCAGUGGGGAAUAUUGCACAAUGGGCGCAAGCCUGAUGCAGCCAUGCCGCGUGUAUGAAGAAGGCCUUCGGGUUGUAAAGUACUUUCAGCGGGGAGGAAGGUGUUGUGGUUAAUAACCGCAGCAAUUGACGUUACCCGCAGAAGAAGCACCGGCUAACUCCGUGCCAGCAGCCGCGGUAAUACGGAGGGUGCAAGCGUUAAUCGGAAUUACUGGGCGUAAAGCGCACGCAGGCGGUCUGUCAAGUCGGAUGUGAAAUCCCCGGGCUCAACCUGGGAACUGCAUUCGAAACUGGCAGGCUUGAGUCUUGUAGAGGGGGGUAGAAUUCCAGGUGUAGCGGUGAAAUGCGUAGAGAUCUGGAGGAAUACCGGUGGCGAAGGCGGCCCCCUGGACAAAGACUGACGCUCAGGUGCGAAAGCGUGGGGAGCAAACAGGAUUAGAUACCCUGGUAGUCCACGCCGUAAACGAUGUCUACUUGGAGGUUGUGCCCUUGAGGCGUGGCUUCCGGAGCUAACGCGUUAAGUAGACCGCCUGGGGAGUACGGCCGCAAGGUUAAAACUCAAAUGAAUUGACGGGGGCCCGCACAAGCGGUGGAGCAUGUGGUUUAAUUCGAUGCAACGCGAAGAACCUUACCUGGUCUUGACAUCCACAGAACUUUCCAGAGAUGGAUUGGUGCCUUCGGGAACUGUGAGACAGGUGCUGCAUGGCUGUCGUCAGCUCGUGUUGUGAAAUGUUGGGUUAAGUCCCGCAACGAGCGCAACCCUUAUCCUUUGUUGCCAGCGGUCCGGCCGGGAACUCAAAGGAGACUGCCAGUGAUAAACUGGAGGAAGGUGGGGAUGACGUCAAGUCAUCAUGGCCCUUACGACCAGGGCUACACACGUGCUACAAUGGCGCAUACAAAGAGAAGCGACCUCGCGAGAGCAAGCGGACCUCAUAAAGUGCGUCGUAGUCCGGAUUGGAGUCUGCAACUCGACUCCAUGAAGUCGGAAUCGCUAGUAAUCGUGGAUCAGAAUGCCACGGUGAAUACGUUCCCGGGCCUUGUACACACCGCCCGUCACACCAUGGGAGUGGGUUGCAAAAGAAGUAGGUAGCUUAACCUUCGGGAGGGCGCUUACCACUUUGUGAUUCAUGACUGGGGUGAAGUCGUAACAAGGUAACCGUAGGGGAACCUGCGGUUGGAUCACCUCCUU